Long non-coding RNA from Phragmites australis (common reed), 1936 nucleotides. RefSeq lists it as uncharacterized. The transcript has 3 exons. Lineage: Eukaryota; Viridiplantae; Streptophyta; Magnoliopsida; Poales; Poaceae. The record is from RefSeq and is a predicted model, not a curated record.
UUUCUUCUAUUGCUGCGCUCUAUUCAGAUUUAGAUCCGCUCGCUUCCUUCCUCUUUCUUCUAUUGCUGCUACAGCUCUAUUUGGAUUUAGCUCGUUCUGUUACAUGAUAUCCACGUUAGGUGUUUGUUCAUUUGCUUUUGUUAACUGUUCUAGGUUCUGGUCCCGUCAAUUUUUUAUCCUCUCGUUUUUUCCCUCUCUAACUACUCCACAAGACUCAAGUUGUAGCAGCAGAUUUCAUCCAGUUUUUAUUAGCGUGGCUAAAUAUCAAACCUGAGCUCCCUGGACAUGAUGGUGUUCUACUGUUUUUCUGAACUUUGUCUAUUGUGUGCAGUUCAGCCACAGAGCAUGAUGCAUCUUGCUGAAGAAGCAGCCUGCAUCAUGCUGAGUUCGCUCCAUGCUGAGUUCACACCAAUAAAUAUAGCACGGCAUGUUGAUGAAUGGAGUUACAGACAUGUUGCACAAAUUGUAUUAGUAAUCAUUGCUACUUCUUGUUUUACAUGUUCCUACCAUAAUUAUGAGCAGAGAUGGAACUAAGCUUUCAAUGUUACCAUUGCUCAACUCCAUUUGAUCUCUAUCGUAGAGUAGACAAUAAUCAACAGGAGAACAGUAAUCACCUCAAAAGACCUGUGAGUAGACAUCAGUCUUGGGAUAGACUUUCUUGGGUUUCCUAUUUUCACUCAGAGUGAUUAAAGGGGAGUUUUGGGACGGCCUUCCUAUUUUCACUUUGAUUCCAAAAAUAACGAUUACCGCUUGUGGUCGCAGUGCAGCGAAAUGAUUAUCGCUGAAGUGUUGUUAUCUUCUCAAAAAGCACAUUGUACAUUCUUCUCUUGUUUUCCAUUGUAGUCCCACUUUGACGUUUGAAUCUAAUACUCAGCAUUUAUUUUGCAGCUCGACUGAAGUAUUGUUCUAGCGCUUCAACAUUCAAAUGUAUUGGAAAUUUUAAUCUCUGCAUGCCUAUAUAACUUUCUACUACAUAAUAAGAAUACAUGACAAUAAUUCUAAUAUAUGAUAAAUUUUAUCUCUGUGUUCAGAUAAAACAACCAAGGACAAGAAACAUCUAUCUGCAGUGAUCCGGAAAUCGCAACCUGUGGUAUCUCUAUGCGAUCCAAUUGAGGAUCACAUCAUGACAGUAGAUAACGAUCUCCUGUCUUACAAAGUGCUGCCCCAACAUGCUGCUCUAAACAUAUUGACAUUGGCAUAAUGUUCUUAGCACCUGAAGAAGACAGUCAGGUCAGCGGUAGGAGAGUAUGUCGGGGAUGCAAACGCAAGGGGAUUGUACGCAAGGGUGGAGACGCUGGAAACCGACAGGGUGACAAUGCGGAGGGAAAUUGCGGCGCUGGGUGCGGAGGGGGUGCAGCUGGUGGUGGCCAGGGAGAUGGUGUGGCGGCUGUGCUGGGAGAUGGUUGAUGAGUAGAGAGCCAUUGUGAAGAAGUCAGCUGUCCCAGCAGGUAGCUUCUCGGUGCUCGAGAUAUGCAAGGAGUUCGUCCGUCAGCCACGGAAGUCAGGGAGCAAAGUUGGUCGAAGGGUGCGGGUGCCCUCGCAUCUUCAAGUUCCCGAACCGGCGAAGGCGAAGGCUCAUUACCUGGGCCUCGCGAGCGAAGCCCAGGUUCGCAUCCCGCAUCAUUUGGAGCAAGCGAAGGCGUGAGCUGACCUUCGCCGGGAGGCGAGGGCUGCCUGGCAUGCGAUCGGGCGAAGAAGGCUUCAGCAUCCUUCGAAGGGAUGGUCAGCUCGACACAGUGGGCUCGACUACGGUCGUCCUGGGUACUGUUGUAAUUAUAGGAUCAUGCUCAUUUGUACCAUAAUGCCCCCGGAUAUUUCGAGAAUGUAGCAGGUUAGGGGGUAAGAUAUGUAAAUGGAACCCGUGAUCGCCGAGUACGGGAUAUAAAUAGAGCCACAGUGUAACCGUAAGGGGUAAUCAAAAACUGUUUCGCGUUCA